GGCUGGUUAGCUCAGUCAGUUGAGCGUGGCGCUUACAAUGCCAAGGACGUGGGUUCAAACCCUGUUCGGUCC
Molecule: transfer RNA, 72 nt
Filed under: Apaloderma vittatum (bar-tailed trogon)
Lineage: Eukaryota; Metazoa; Chordata; Aves; Trogoniformes; Trogonidae
Rfam family: tRNA
About the family: Transfer RNA (tRNA) molecules are approximately 80 nucleotides in length. Their secondary structure includes four short double-helical elements and three loops (D, anti-codon, and T loops).
Source: Rfam by way of RNAcentral